CUACUUAGCUAGCUUGCUCAUUGCUAGUUAAAAUAUCAAAAACAAAAAUCUGCUUUUUAAAUUCAAAUCCUUUCAAAAAUUUCAGUGUCCUGGGAGAAAGUUCAGAUUUUUUUUAGUAUUUUUAAAAUUAAAAUAAAUACUAAGAAAAAAAUUCUAAGACAGCAGUUCUCUUCUUUUAUCCAAUAAAAUGAUUGCAUAACUUUAUUCCCUGUAUGUCUCAAAAUCUCUUAUAAAGGUCAAUAUUUGCUGGGUAGACAAACUUGGAAUUGCAGAACUUAGAUAUGUGAUUCGCUGGCUGAAGGAUUAUGGAGCAAGGUUUUUAAACAUUUUCUAAAACUUGAUAACCUCAUCAGUUAUAUAAGAGUGUUGCAGUCAACAGGCCCCUCUCAUUCUAAUACUCUCAAAAUAAAUCUGCUUAAUUCCCAAAUACCUUUUUAUCACUGUUCCUCUCUUUUAUUUAGCAUCAGGACAGUGACCGUCACACACCAUCAAGUCCUGGCUUCCAUUUUCCUGAUGCAAGCUCAGCUUCCCGAGAUUAUCCAAAGUAGGAUGAAUCCUUGCUUUCAAUGCCCACUUUAGAGUGCCUGUCAUAUGAAGUAAUUAUGAGCACAGCAUGAAGUCUACAUGAGGUAUGUACAGUGGAUCUCUACGUACAUUGUUCCUACUUUACUCAUGAGAAGAGGUGUCACUGUUUGAAGAUAAAUAGGUUGACUGUAAAUUCACCAUUUUUAAAAGAUAAAUAGGUUGACUAUAAAUCCACAUAUUUCUUUGUUCUUCCUAGAAUCUUCUACAUGGGAUGAAAUUGAGGUGAUCAUUAAAGGUAAUUAGGAAAUAAUUGAACGAAGGCUCUUAGACUUUCCAUAAUACUUCUAGGUUAUCCAGGGUUCCUGCAAUAUAAAGUGAUAUAUAUGUAAAAGUGAUAUAUUUAAAUAUUGUACUUGACUUUACAUGUUUAAUUUAUUAUUAUUCCUAAAAGUAAUACUUACCGUAGACUCAGUAGAGAGGCCAGAAUUAUAUAUUUAAAGUCUUGAGUUGUUCUAACUCCAAGGGGAGUAAAUGGUCUUUUUGAAUUUUAUAGGAACAGCAGAGAGUCUUCCAUAUAAUAUAAGAGGGAAAAUCAAGCUCAUCCAAGCAUACUUUAUGUGUAUGUUCUUUGGUUUAAAAGGAGUAAAGUAUUGCUCUAAUCAAAUACAUUGAAUGAAGAGAGAGAGACAGAGAGAGAGAGAGAGAGAAGGAGGGGGAGGGG
This 1246-nucleotide long non-coding RNA is filed under the name Callithrix jacchus (white-tufted-ear marmoset). RNAcentral describes it as "lncRNA (ENSCJAG00000070940.1)". The record is from RNAcentral. Lineage: Eukaryota; Metazoa; Chordata; Mammalia; Primates; Cebidae.